AUGAGGAUGAUGGGAGAGUCCGCGGGCUGAUCCGAAAAGGGACGCCAGCUUAGCGGCACCGAAGGAGCAAGGGCCGGUCCUGCAGCCGGCAGCCGAAUCUCUCAGGUACAAGGACCAUGAUCGGACG
RNAcentral lists this non-coding RNA (127 nucleotides) under Paenibacillus sp. Its description in RNAcentral is "Glycine sequence". It matches the Rfam family "Glycine riboswitch aptamer". From Rfam's summary of the family: This family represents the bacterial glycine riboswitch. Glycine riboswitches usually consist of two metabolite-binding aptamers domains with similar structures in tandem. Lineage: Bacteria; Bacillati; Bacillota; Bacilli; Caryophanales; Paenibacillaceae. The record is from RNAcentral. RNAcentral also lists the same sequence under 1 other name.